UUAGUGGCGGACGGGUGAGUAACGCGUGGAUAACCUGCCGUAUACCGGGGGAUAACACUUAGAAAUAGGUGCUAAUACCGCAUAAGCGCACGGCUCCGCAUGGGGCAGUGUGAAAAACUCCGGUGGUAUACGAUGGAUCCGCGUCUGAUUAGCUAGUUGGCGGGGUAACGGCCCACCAAGGCAGCGAUCAGUAGCCGGCCUGAGAGGGUGGACGGCCACAUUGGGACUGAGACACGGCCCAAACUCCUACGGGAGGCAGCAG
RNAcentral lists this ribosomal RNA (262 nucleotides) under uncultured bacterium. RNAcentral describes it as "partial 16S ribosomal RNA". It matches the Rfam family "Bacterial small subunit ribosomal RNA", at positions 92 to 354 of the family's 1533-position model. The record is from RNAcentral.